This 568-nucleotide long non-coding RNA is filed under the name Monodelphis domestica (gray short-tailed opossum). RNAcentral's name for it is "lncRNA (ENSMODG00000043213.1)". The record is from RNAcentral. Lineage: Eukaryota; Metazoa; Chordata; Mammalia; Didelphimorphia; Didelphidae.
GAUGAAAGACCAAAGAUAACUCUAGCUUUUAUCAGUUUCUCUUUUUUCAGUUGAACCUUGAGUUGGUUUCCACCUUUGAAAGAGAAGGCAGAAGAAGUCAACUCUGUUCUAUGUUCUUGAAAGAAAUAUGUCUGAGAUGAUAUGAGAAGAGCAGGCAAUCUGUCAUGUUCCUAUCUCCAGUGUGCUACACUAGAGACAUCAGAGAGUUUCCCUUGGGGAUGAUUGCCUGAAUUGUCUCUGAGUCAAUAGUCUACCAUUCAAGGCAGAUGCCAUGUGAUGCCAAUAGGGAGUGGAGUCUGAGAUCUGCUACAGAGAAAGUUAAAGGGACAACCUUGUGUAGAUGAAGGUUUCUUCUGCAAAGCUAUCAUCAGUCUGACACCUCAAACAAUGUCCCUACAAAGGAUCAGAUCCUUCAAACCCAGAAGAAACCAUGGAUUCACUGAUGAGGUGAAAAGGAUCCACUGAAGUUUAUUGGGUGCUAGAAGGAGGAUGACACGAUCAGUCUGCUAAAAUCAUGUCAUAAACAAAUGGGUUGGAACAAACUUGAAAUUAAAAAUCAUAAAAAGUU